CCGGAAGUCUGAUGGAGCAACGCCGCGUGAGUGAUGAAGGUUUUCGGAUCGUAAAACUCUGUUGUAAGGGAAGAACCAGUACGUCAGGCAAUGGACGUACCUUGACGGUACCUUAUUAGAAAGCCACGGCUAACUACGUGCCAGCAGCCGCGGUGAUACGUAGGGUGCGAGCGUUGUCCGGAAUUAUUGGGCGUAAAGAGCUUGUAGGCGGUCCGUCGCGUCGGAAGUGAAAACUCAGGGCUUAACCCUGAGCCUGCUUUCGAUACGGGCAGACUUGAGGGAUGUAGGGGAGAACGGAAUUCCUGGUGGAGCGGUGGAAUGCGCAGAUAUCAGGAGGAACACCAGUGGCGAAGGCGGUUCUCUGGACAUUUCCUGACGCUGAGAAGCGAAAGCGUGGGGAGCAAACA
Molecule: ribosomal RNA, 407 nt
Filed under: uncultured Propionicimonas sp.
Lineage: Bacteria; Bacillati; Actinomycetota; Actinomycetes; Propionibacteriales; Nocardioidaceae
Description: bacterial SSU rRNA
Rfam family: Bacterial small subunit ribosomal RNA
Source: RNAcentral